This 1605-nucleotide long non-coding RNA is filed under the name Triticum aestivum (bread wheat). RNAcentral describes it as "long non-coding RNA (TAES_LNC005522)". Lineage: Eukaryota; Viridiplantae; Streptophyta; Magnoliopsida; Poales; Poaceae. The record is from RNAcentral.
AUCCGACUAAGUCCGUUUGUCUUCUUCAUGGAAUCAUUCUUCUUCCUUGCGGGAUUUCAGGCAAGAUGACCAUACCCUCGAAAUCACUUCUAUCUUUGCUUACUAGAUGCUCGCUCUUUUGCUAUCCCUAUGUUGCGAUACCUACCACUUGCUUAUCAUGCCUCCCAUAUUGCCAUGCCAAGCCUCUAACCCACCUUGUCCUAGCAAACCGUUGUUUGGCUAUGUUACAGCUUUGCUCAGCCCCUCUUAUAGCGUUGUUAGUUGCAGGUGAAGAUUGGAGAUCGUUCCUUGUUGGAACAUGUUUAUUGUUGGGAUAUCACAAUAUUAUCUUGUUUAAUUAAUGCAUCUAUAUACUUGGUAAAGGGUGGAAGGCUCGGCCUUAUGCCUGGUGUUUUGUUCCACUCUUGCCGCCCUAGUUUCCAUCAUACCGGUGUUAUGUUCCUUGAUUUUGCGUUCCUUACACGGUUGGGUUAUAAUGGGAACCCCUUGACAGUUCGCCUUGAAUAAAAAUCUUCUAGCAAGGCCCAACAUUGGUUUUACCAUUUGCCACCUAGCCUUUUCUUUCCCUUGGGUUCUGCAGACUCAAGGGUCAUCUUUAUUUAAACCUCCAGGCCAGUGCUCCUCUUAGUGUUGGUAUAAACUAGAGCCCCUUGCAGCGCCACCUCGGGGAAACUCGAGGGCUGGUUUUAGUUGUACGGAUUGCUUAUACGGUGUGCCCUGAGAACGAGAUAUGUGCAGCUCCUAUUGGGAUUUGUCGGCACAUUCGGGUGGCUUUGCUGGACUUGUUUUACCAUUGUCGAGGAUGUCUUGUAACCGGGAUGCCGAGCCUGAUCGGAUUGUCUUGGGAAAAGGAAUAUCCUUCGUUGACCGUGAGAACUUGUGAUGGGCUAAGUUGGGACACCCCUGCAGGGAUUUGAACUUUCGAAGGUCGUGCCCGCGGUUAUGGGCAUAUGGGAAUUUGUUAAUGUCCGGUUGUAGAAAACCUGAAGUUGACCUUAAUUAAAAUGCACCAACCGCGUGUGUAACCGUGAUGGUCUCUUCUCGGCGGAGUCCGGGAAGUGAACACGGUGUUGGAGUUAUGCUUGACGUAGGUUGUUCUAGGAUCACUUCUUGAUCAUAGUUUCUCGACCGUGCUUUGCCUUCUGUUCUCGCUCUCAUUUGUGUAUGUUAGCCACCAUAUAUGCUAGUCGCUUGCUACAGCUCCACCUCAUACCUUUUACCCUUCCUAUAAGCUUAAAUAGUCUUGAUCGCGAGGAUGUGAGAUUGCUGAGUCCCCGUGACUCACAGAUACUUCCAAAACCAGCUUGCAGGUGCCGAUGAGACCGUGCAGGUGACGCAACCGAGCUCAAGGAGGAGCUCGAUGAAGACUUUGUUCGUAGUGUUGUUUCCAGUUGAUCAGUAGUGGAGCCCAGUUGGGACGAUCGGGGACCUAUGUAGCAUUUGGGGUAGUCUUCUUUUAUUUUGGUUCCAUAGUCGGACCUCGUGUGUAUCUGGUUGAUGUAAUGCUUUAUUCAUGUAUUGUGUGAAGUGGCGAUUGUAAGCCAACUAUGUAUCUCUUUCCCUUAUGUAUUACAUGGGUUGUGUGAACAUUACCUCACUUGCGAC